AUACGUAGGGUGCGAGCGUUGUCCGGAAUUACUGGGCGUAAAGAGCUCGUAGGCGGUUUGUCACGUCGUCUGUGAAAUCCCUCGGCUUAACCGGGGGCGUGCAGGCGAUACGGGCAGACUUGAGUACUACAGGGGAGACUGGAAUUCCUGGUGUAGCGGUGAAAUGCGCAGAUAUCAGGAGGAACACCGGUGGCGAAGGCGGGUCUCUGGGUAGUAACUGACGCUGAGGAGCGAAAGCAUGGGUAGCGAACAGGAUUAGAUACCCUGGUAGUCCAUGCCGUAAACGGUGGGCGCUAGGUGUGGGGUCCUUCCACGGAUUCCGUGCCGUAGCUAACGCAUUAAGCGCCCCGCCUGGGGAGUACGGCCGCAAGGCUAAA
This 377-nucleotide ribosomal RNA is filed under the name uncultured bacterium. RNAcentral's name for it is "bacterial SSU rRNA". It matches the Rfam family "Bacterial small subunit ribosomal RNA", at positions 523 to 898 of the family's 1533-position model. The record is from RNAcentral.